UACGAAGGGGGCUAGCGUUGCUCGGAAUCAUUGGGCGUAAAGCGCGUGUAGGCGGUCCGGUAAGUCCGCUGUGAAAGUCGGGGGCUCAACCCUCGGAUGCCGGUGGAUACUGUCGGGCUUGAGUACGGAAGAGGCGAGUGGAAUUCCUGGUGUAGCGGUGAAAUGCGCAGAUAUCAGGAGGAACACCGGUGGCGAAGGCGGGUCUCUGGGCAACAACUGACGCUGAGGAGCGAAAGCGUGGGGAGCAAACAGG
RNAcentral lists this ribosomal RNA (253 nucleotides) under uncultured bacterium. Its description in RNAcentral is "partial 16S ribosomal RNA". It matches the Rfam family "Bacterial small subunit ribosomal RNA", at positions 524 to 776 of the family's 1533-position model. The record is from RNAcentral.